UUUUAUUUUUUUAUUUUUUAUAUUACCAUUGUCCAUCUGUAUUAUGAUCCCACAGGAAGAAUGGUUUUGAUCUCCUAGGAUUGGAUCCAUUUAAGGUGAAGGUCCACAGAGUACAUGGUUGUGUUUAAAGCAUGAACUGUUAUAGUGGUUCUCCUCAUUAGAUCUAUAUCUUCUCAUGACACCAAACUUUACAAGAGUAUAUGGGCAUGCAAUAGUUUUUAUUAGCUUUAUUUUCUUUUAUCAUGAAAUUGGCUUGAGGAGGUUCAGUUAGGGAUCAUCUUCAUGCCUUUUGUUAUGUAUGUUCUUUUUGCUAAUUGUAGUUUCACUUUUUGUGGGGUUACAAUUUAGUUAAGUUGUAUUUUUUUUUUUUUUUCUAGUUGAACUCACUGGAUACAUCUGUUAAUUAAAUAAUUUGUUCACCUUGUUAUUUCUUGGGAGGAAUUUAUGAAGGGCUUUGUUGUAUGCCCAUGGAUAUGGUCUAAUAUUUUAGACUAGAAAUCUCUUUUGUCUAAUUAUUUAGGUUGGAAAGCUCAUGAUGGCUAUGGAUGGAAGUACUAAAGAAUCAAGUUGGGUUUGAGUUAUGAAGAUAAUUUAGUUUUAGAUAUCAUCCGAUUCCAUGUUGGUGGAGAAGAAUCUCAAUGUUUAUUCAUUCAUCAAAAUUCCCAAAAGAAAAUCAAUAUGUCAAUGUGUUGGUGAUCUUGAUAUUUCUUUCUUUUAUGGUUUAGUUAAGUGUUUUAAAAGAAAAUAUAAACUCGUAAGUUCCCUUUCAAGUGCUUAAUGCCAAUGUGCGAGAUACUACUUGGUCUUUAAAGGUCCCAAAUAGCUUAUGAAAGAACAAGGGAAACAAUAUUCAAUUGUAAGGGCCAUGGUUUAUCCAACUGUAUCAACUGAUUGGCUCUGGAUAUCUUGGUGUUCCCACUAUAGUCAAAGUUGCACCUACCCUUGCUUAGGCCCCAAGUGGUCCUAGGCAAGGCACUACUUUUAGGUGUGCACAUAGUGCUUGAUGCCUAGUUGUGCUUGGCUGCCACUUGCAUAAUGUUGUGAAGUACCUUUUUAUGGGAUGAUAUAUUUGGUAUGUUCACACCAAGGGUGGAAAGAUGUCUUGUAAACUCCCUUGGAGCACAUUUUCCUCAUUUCGUUCAUAUCAAAGCUUUGAUUUAUGAAAAAUAGCUCCUCGAAAUUUCUUAGAUUUUUUAUAAACUAAUAAUUCUUCUUCCUGAUUUUUUUCCUUUUAUUGGUGUGUUUUAAGCACUACAUAGUCUACAUUGGACUUUUUAACAAUUUAAAUUUCUGUUUGUGCUAUACAAAAGAGAAAGGACAAAUUGAGGAUUUUGGGGGAAUUGAGAAAUUUAGGUUACAAUAUUUGGGAAUAUUGAAAUUUUGAAUUUUGUAGUGUUUGGGAAAUUUAAGGAUUUCUGCAAAAACAUGAUUCUCUGUUGGGAAAUUUGGGAGAGUUGGGGAAAUUGGUAAGAGGUAGGAUUUAGGGGAAUUGCAACAUUAUGGUCUAGAAUUGAGGGAAUUUGUGAAAAAAUAGAAAUAUAGGGUUCUGUUUUUAAAGAUUAGAGGAAUUGGGAAUUUUAUGAAAUCAAGGUUUCUAUUUCGGGAAUUGAAGGACUGGGCAACACACAGACACACUUUAUUUUUGGUUGGUUGGGUCAAACGUGAAAUUAAGGUUUCUAUUUCGGGUCACAUCUUUAGCCAAUCCUCCCUAGUAUUUCCAUGUUUGGCCCAUCUUUAGAUGUUCUUAACCAUGUUGGGCCCAUCGUCAGUUAAUCCUAACUAUUAUUUCAACAUGGAGCUGAUUUGUUACUUGAUCUUAACCAUAUGUGGCCCAUCAUUUGCUGAUCUAACCACUUGUAUUUCCAUGUGGGUUCCAUUGUUAAGAUGGUCUUAGCCAUGUGUGUUCCUAUCAUUACUGAAAUUUCAGUGUUUUUCCACAUGCGGCCCUUCAUUUGUUAGUCCCAACCAUGUGCAUUUCCAUGUGACCUCAUCAAUGUUAACCAUGUAGGGCCCAUCAUUAGUUAUCACACACAUGCAUUUCCACUUGGGCCCACCAUUAUUUGAUCCUAACCAUGUUUAUUUCCACAUGGAUCCCAUCGUUAGAUGAUCUUGCCAUUUGGGGCCCAUUGUUACUUAAUCCUAAACACGUGCAUCUCCACAUGGUGCCCAUUGUUAGUUGAUCCUAACUGUGUGCAUUGCACAUGGUGCCCAUCAUUAGAUGAUCUUAACUAUGUGAAGCCAUCUUUAAUCAAUUAUAAACAUGUUAUUAAUUGCUGGAUUCAUUGUUAGAGGAUCUUAACUAUGCAGGGCCCACUAUUAGUAGAUCAUAACCAUGGGCAUUUCCAUGUGGAGCACAUCAUUGGAUGAUCUUAAGUAUGUGGGGUGCACAGUUAAUUGAUCUUACCUAUGUGCAUUUCCUCAUGGGGCCCACUGUUUGAUGGUUUUAACCUAUGUAUGCGCCCAUCAGCAGUUUAUACUAACCAAAUUGGCAUGUGGUAUGAUGACAAAGAUGGGCCAUGGAUUGCGGAUAUUUAUUGAUAGGAAUACCAACUAUCAGGUCAUAAUUUUUUUUUAAUGGAAAAUUUGUUGGCCGUCAGACACCAAAUAUGGAAAAUAAGAACAAUCUCUAUAGAAAAAUACAUGGGAAUACAAAAGUUAGAAAGCGUUUUAUUUUCAUCAAUAUUCCUAGAAAUAUUAUUUUCAAGGAAAUCAAUUUUCCUCUUUUCAGUUAUAACAAAUCCAAACAGGCCAUUCAUCAAUAAGAUGCAACAUGGAUACACCGAAUGGAAAUCAAACGUAAGGUUCAAAUGGUCUCCCAUGAGAUUCGUUUUAAUCUUGAGAUUCAAAUUGUGAAUUGUAGAAUUUUAAUAACAUUUAGAGGAGUACAUUUGGAGUUUUGCCAAACCAACCAAUAGACUUCCAUGUCUAUAGUCAUCAUUUGGGUGUACUUGAAUGGGAAUUAUUAGCAGGAAGGUGAACUGUGGAGUUACUGAACUGCUUGAGAUGGUAGGGUUGUGGAGAGACGGAGGCUAGGAGUUGGUGUUACUUGUCUUUAAUUUGAUGUGGUUUUAGUUAGAUGAAAAGGCCUAUCUUUUCUUGAACUAACAAAGUUCUCAGGAUAUCAUGAUCGUCACCAACAUAGCUUGUCCCAGCUAUUUGGUGUGAGCUUUAUAAAUUGAAGAAACUUCUUGAACUAGCAUUU
This is a long non-coding RNA of Magnolia sinica, 3202 nucleotides long. RefSeq lists it as uncharacterized. The record is from RefSeq and is a predicted model, not a curated record. The transcript has 2 exons. NCBI's taxonomy places the organism in Eukaryota, Viridiplantae, Streptophyta, Magnoliopsida, Magnoliales, Magnoliaceae.